UACAGAGGGGGCAAGCGUUAUUCGGAAUUAUUGGGCGUAAAGGGCGCGUAGGCGGCCUGGCAAGUGGAAGGUGAAAUCCCUCGGCUUAACCGAGGAACUGCCCUCCAAACUGCUUGGCUUGAGUCCGGGAGAGGUGAGUGGAAUUCCCAGUGUAGCGGUGAAAUGCGCAGAUAUCAGGAGGAACACCGAUGGCGAAGGCAGGUCUCUGGGCCACUACUGACGCUGAGAAGCGGAAAGCAUGGGGAGCGAAACAGG
RNAcentral lists this ribosomal RNA (255 nucleotides) under uncultured bacterium. Its description in RNAcentral is "partial 16S ribosomal RNA". It matches the Rfam family "Bacterial small subunit ribosomal RNA", at positions 524 to 776 of the family's 1533-position model. The record is from RNAcentral.